RNAcentral lists this ribosomal RNA (32 nucleotides) under Parhyale hawaiensis. The record is from RNAcentral. Lineage: Eukaryota; Metazoa; Arthropoda; Malacostraca; Amphipoda; Hyalidae.
GACCGCCUGGGAACACCAGAUGCUGUUGGCUU